Molecule: ribosomal RNA, 506 nt
Filed under: uncultured bacterium
Lineage: Bacteria
Description: partial 16S ribosomal RNA
Rfam family: Bacterial small subunit ribosomal RNA
Source: RNAcentral
AGUGAACGCUGGCGGUAGGCCUAACACAUGCAAGUCGAACGGCAGCACAGGAGAGCUUGCUCUCUGGGUGGCGAGUGGCGGACGGGUGAGGAAUACAUCGGAAUCUACUCUGUCGUGGGGGAUAACGUAGGGAAACUUACGCUAAUACCGCAUACGACCUACGGGUGAAAGCAGGGGACCUUCGGGCCCGGCUCGAUGGAAUGAGCCGAUGUCGGAUUAGCUAGUUGGCGGGGUAAAGGCCCACCAAGGCGACGAUCCGUAGCUGGUCUGAGAGGAUGAUCAUCCACACUGGAACUGAGACACGGUCCAGACUCCUACGGGAGGCAGCAGUGGGGAAUAUUGGACAAUGGGCGCAAGCCUGAUCCAGCCAUACCGCGUGGGUGAAGAAGGCCUUCGGGUUGUAAAGCCCUUUUGUUGGGAAAGAAAUCCAGCUGGCUAAUACCCGGUUGGGAUGACGGUACCCAAAGAAUAAGCACCGGCUAACUUUGUGCCAGCAGCCGCCGUAA